UUGCACGCUGGCGGCAUGCUUUACACAUGCAGGUCGAACGGCAGCGCGGGCUUCGGCCUGGCGGCGAGUGGCGAACGGGUGAGUAAUACAUCGGAACGUGCCCAGUAGUGGGGGAUAGCUCGGCGAAAGCCGGAUUAAUACCGCAUACGACCUGAGGGUGAAAGCGGGGGAUCUUCGGACCUCGCGCUAUUGGAGCGGCCGAUGGCAGAUUAGCUAGUUGGUGGGGUAAAGGCCUACCAAGGCGACGAUCUGUAGCUGGUCUGAGAGGACGACCAGCCACACUGGGACUGAGACACGGCCCAGACUCCUACGGGAGGCAGCAGUGGGGAAUCUUGGACAAUGGGCGAAAGCCUGAUCCAGCAAUGCCGCGUGUGUGAUGAAGGCCUUCGGGUUGUAAAGCACUUUUGGCGGGAACGAAAAGGACUGUGCCAAUACCACGGUUCGAUGACGGUACCCGCAGAAUAAGCACCGGCUAACUACGUG
RNAcentral lists this ribosomal RNA (483 nucleotides) under uncultured bacterium. Its description in RNAcentral is "partial 16S ribosomal RNA". It matches the Rfam family "Bacterial small subunit ribosomal RNA", at positions 29 to 507 of the family's 1533-position model. The record is from RNAcentral.